RNAcentral lists this ribosomal RNA (295 nucleotides) under uncultured bacterium. RNAcentral's name for it is "partial 16S ribosomal RNA". It matches the Rfam family "Archaeal small subunit ribosomal RNA", at positions 455 to 747 of the family's 1478-position model. The record is from RNAcentral.
GUGCCAGCAGCCGCGGGGUAAUACCGGCAGCUCGAGUGAUGUCCAAUAUUAUUGGGCCUAAAGCGUCCGUAGCUGGCCGCGCAAGUCCUUCGUGAAAUCCACCUGCCCAACAGGUGGGCGUCCGGCGGAAACUGUGUGGCUUGGAACCGGAAGGCUCAGAGGGUACGUCCGGGGUAGGAGUGAAAUCCCGUAAUCCCGGACGGACCACCGACGGCGAAAGCACUCUGAGAAGACGGCUUCGACAGCGAGGGACGAAAGCUAGGGUCUCAAACCGGAUUAGAUACCCCAGUAGUCC